UCCGUCGGUAUGGUCGCCAUACCUUCAGAUUCACAUAUAUAAAGACAUCAACCGAGGUCAGAUAACCAGUUGAUUGCGGCGUGAAGUAAACAUGACGUGCCCAAAACACCAAGUCUGUGUCUUCUUGCUGGUCCUCGCGAACCUCGUAAUGUUCGCAUCCGCUGAAGCCACUGAAGGAACAUGCUUGCAGGAAACGUGCAGCCCUGGUGACGACUGUGGAGAAAACUGCAUUUGCGGCGGGCGUACUGGCCAACAACUGUACUGCGUCUACUUCGAUCCAAACGAAUAUACAGACUACGGCUUAAAUGAAACUGACCUAGACCAGUAUACUCCAAGGCCAAAAGAUUCCCAUUAAUGAGAGAGCAUAAACGGGCUGUUUAACAAGAGAGAAAUCUCUCUUCCUUUUUUAUUUGUUCGAAUAAAUAUGCCCUUUCUAAA
This is a long non-coding RNA of Ornithodoros turicata, 438 nucleotides long. RefSeq lists it as uncharacterized. The transcript is spliced from 3 exons. The record is from RefSeq and is a predicted model, not a curated record. Lineage: Eukaryota; Metazoa; Arthropoda; Arachnida; Ixodida; Argasidae.